UUCUGUUAUUAAGGGUCAUUCGGUUUUUGUCAUAAAAAGUUAGGUUUAGGGUUAGGGUGUUAGUUUAAGCUAGUUAGCUAUGUUAGUUUAAGCACUCGAUCUUUUUAGCUAGCUUACAGGCGAAAUGCUAGUAUUUUAGGACAUUGGGUUACAUUGUAAACCUAGCUAGACAGCUAGGCUACAUGCUGCAACACAGGUAUGAAAUAUAUUAUGUCUUAUUGACCUUGUUGUUUCUAUGAACAUGAAUUGUUGUUUAUAGGCAACAUCAAGUCAACAUCAUCUUAAUCGAGGCAUAAAGAUCCCUGGAUAUCUUCAUUAAGUACUUAAACUUAAACGAACUAGCUGAUUAGCCUAAUUAGCUCGCUUGCCACCACUGGCUAGACACUGCAGUCAAAAGGUUAGCGGUUUCGCCGUCACGCCCCUGAGGCGAAAUUUCGCUGGCCGAAAAUCGCGAGGUGUUUCGCUGUGUGGAAACCCACCGUUAGCGGUUUCGCCGUCAAGCCCCCGAGGCGAAGUUUCGCUGUCCGAAAAUCGCGAGGUGUUUCGCUGUGUGGAAAACCACCUGGUACUGGAUGCUGACAGACAACCAGAAAAAAACGAUGAACUCUGACCUAGUAUUCACCCAGCUGAAUAUUGCAAAUUGCUACUAUAUUUCAUCAUUUCUUUAUGCAAAUCGUAUUUCGAUCUUACUUCACUGUAUUUAUUUAUUUAUUUAUUUAUUUAUUUAUUUACACAUUUACCCACCCCCCAAAAUAUCAGACCACUGUACUCCUUGUGUAAUCAUCUAAAAAAGUGGUGAGGUUAUAGAGGCAGUUGGAAAAGGGAAAUGGAAGUUUAACAAGGAUGUUAGAAGACAUAGUUGUGCACUAUGUGAAGUCUGCCAGUCUGAGGCCGGGAUCAGGUCCAGAUAUUACAGAAUCAGCUUCUCAGGUCAAGACAAAUCAAGUCAAGGUGAGAUCUCUGCUUUAUAUCAUAUUAACAGCGUGGGAGCAAAAGCGUACAUGUGCCAGCCCUCAUGCCUCUCCUGCAUAUCUCAUGAAAUACAGUGAACAUGACUUAAUCAUCACUAUUUGUUAGGGAAAUGCAAAAUGCUAUAACAACCUAGGAGGCAACCCCCGUGUCUGCCAUGCUUUUGUGUUAGCAUUAAAAAGUGAUUGGAUUUGGAGUAUCAGCCGUUGGGUAGGGUACCCUUUUUAUUGUUCAGAAAUAUUUAUAACAAUGACUUGUCUGCAUGUUUGUUUGCUGGGUGAGCUGGAUAGUGGAUCGUUGUUGUUGCUUUGCCUUCCCCUGAUCACUCCACCUGAAUUUGGCAUCUCUGCAUUCCUCGCUGAACAGCCAUGGCUACAACUGGAGAUGAAACUACUGGGCCUUCAUCACCUCAUGGAGAGGCACUGUUAAUGCCCCCCCGCUGGACUGGACCCCCCGAAAGGAGGGACAAGCACUUGGACCCGAACAUGGUAUGGACAUCAUGCUGUAGUGUAGUUGUGCCACAGCGUCCCCCAACAAGCCAGUCACUUCUGAGGAGAGAGAGCUCUAGAUCUACUGGUGCUACACUUUAUAGUACAUAAGAAUACUUUUAAGACUCCUCUCUGGUGUACUGAUCUCUGCACCAUAUUCAUUUCACAGAUGAUUACAUGAAGUUUUGACUGCACAAUUAAAGGAUGAUUUACCUCAGCCAUUGGGAGCAGCUCAUCUGAAGCAGACGAAAUGAACUCAAUUUGUCGAUGAUUUUAUCCAACUGCAUAUAAAUUAUAUUAAAUUAUGUUCAUUUGAA
Molecule: long non-coding RNA, 1774 nt
Organism: Alosa sapidissima (American shad)
Lineage: Eukaryota; Metazoa; Chordata; Actinopteri; Clupeiformes; Clupeidae
Exons: 5
Source: RefSeq, a predicted model, not a curated record